This 2729-nucleotide long non-coding RNA is filed under the name Solanum lycopersicum (tomato). RNAcentral describes it as "long non-coding RNA (SLYC_LNC001391)". The record is from RNAcentral. Lineage: Eukaryota; Viridiplantae; Streptophyta; Magnoliopsida; Solanales; Solanaceae.
UUAGCAUAAGAUGCAGAGAAUAUGCACAACUACAAUUAUUCACUUAACUUUCACUCUAAUCUAAGUUUAGCUUCUUUUUUUUUUGAACUAAAAUAUAGACAUUGUUUUUUUGAAUAAAGCUUCAUAAUGACAAUUCCAUGCACGUUUUCAUGCAAAAAAGGGAAGCUUACAUAAUUAUCUUUCAACUUUUGGAAAUUCAUGUCAAAAGGUGAGUUUCAUUUUGAACUAUACUAGAUUCACAAUUUUUCUGUCUUUUAUUUCAGGCCUGAAAGCAUGUUCUUUUCCUCUUUAAUUAUAUUGCGUUCGGAGUCAAAAGGACCACUUUUUUCUUUACCCACCAAAUAGAUUUGGACAACUUUUUCACAAUUUAAACAUCGAUCACAGCAUAGUUUCUCUAUUUUAAUUUAUAUGUCCCUUGGUACGGUGUUUGAUGACUUUUUUUUACCCACCAAAUCGAUUUGCACAACUUUUUUCACAAUUUGAACGUCGAUCGCAACAUAAUUUCUCUAUUUUAGUUUAUAUGUCCCUUGAUACGGUGUUUGAUGACUACUUUCUCUGUUUUAAUUUAUGUGUCCCUUGAUACGUUGUUUGAUGACUAGAUACAAAGUUACAAUAGUUUAUUUUAGAAUAUGUGUAGUGUUGGAUAAUUACUUGGCUAUUCUUGAUGGCGUGAGGUUUUUCUAUUUUUUAAAAAAUGUGUGAAUUUGGACUAUAAAUUAAAUAAUAUCAUACCAUGUUUAGAGCAUUUUUUAAUUUGAUCAUUUAAAGAUUGAUAUAGAGAAAAUUAUUACUCUUAAUUAUUGAGUGUUUAAAUUUAAUUAAAUUCAAAGAAUUUUUAGUAAUCACAUACUAUAUGCAUUCAUAUUAACACAUUUUUAAUUUUAGAAAAAAUUCAAAAGUACGUAGCAUUCACACUAGGAAAGUUCGUACAAGUAAAAUUAUGUAAAGUAUUUACAAGUAUUUUUUUUUUAAUGUAAAAGGUACUUGAGCACAAUUGAUAAUUUAAUUUCAAAAAAAAUGUUGCAAUAGAAUUUAAGACUAGAUUCCCUUCACUUAGCAUUAAUUUAACUAAUAAAUAAAAUUUAAGUAAGUGCGGCGUUCCACAUAUUUAAUACUAUGCUUCUAUAGUCUAAGUGAAAGGAAUUAGGCAACAUUAUUUAAUUAGUCCUCACUAAUUACUUGUGUGGGCCCUACUUCUUAAUUAAUUACCUACCCUUGCCAUGCAAAAGAUGCAAUUAAUUAAUUAAUUAGUACUAGCCAACUUAGUUAAGCUAGCUAGCUACACAUAAUCAAAAUUCUACUCGCUAUGUAUAGCUCCUUAAUUAGGCAUCAUUAUGUAUAUAUAUGCUCGGAUUCUCUAAUAAUGUUAUCGUAGCUUCAAGAGUAUGAACAACAUAUAUAGUAUAUAUGUAGCUACGUACCAUUUUAGUAAAAUGAACAAAACGCUACGAGAAACUAAUAGGGGGUAAUGCUAAAUGCAGAAAUUUAAAGGUCUAUAAUAUCCUUUUUUAUUUUAAAAUUAAUUGAUUAUGUCCCCAUUUUUAAUCAAAAGAUAUUAAAUUUAAAAAGGGUAAAAAUGUCCAAAAAGAUAAAAUAAAUAGUGUGUGAAAUAUGUUAUUUUACCAUUCUGGCCAAAUUCUGACUAAAUUUUCUAGCCAAAAUGAUUUUUCCUUACCAAUAAUCCUUUCGUAAUAAUCCCAGUAUAAUUUGUUUUCGAACUAAGCAAUCCCUAGCUAGAGGCGAAACAAGGAUUAGGAGUUUGAGAGUUCUAAAUUUUAUUAAUAAUCGUCAAUCAACUUUGUUAAGAAUUCACAAUUAAUAUACAUAAAUAUUUAAUUAAUUUUCUAGUACAAAUUAGGAAUUCGUCCGAACCCAUAAAAACCCCGCCUAGCUCCGCCUCUGUCCCUAGCUAUACACAUAUUUCAUAAAUCGGGAGGAGUAAAGAUCCAAUUGAAGACUAACCUUAAUCCUUAAAACACAUAAAAUCACACACCAUUCAUAUUUUCCCAUUACUUCACCACCAUAUACAUAUAUAGUUCAUAAUGAAUAAUAAACUGAAAGAUAAAAUUAAGCCCCACAAUAUAAUAAAACAACAAAAUACGUAAAAUACAUCUCUAUCCCUUGUAAAAGCUUAUACAAUUAGCUCAUAGAUUGAGACAAAACAUAUAUAUUUAUUUCCUCAUCAUCACAUGCAAGUGUGAUUCUUUUUCAGUGACAAUAACGAGACUCGAAUUCAGGACCUAGCUCUGAUACCAUCUGUCAUUCAUAUUGAGAGUUACUUUCCAUGCUUAUACUCAUCCCAAUUACUUUCCUAUUUAGUUCCACCACUUGAAGUAGAAUUUCCAAAAUGUGAUCCACGAUAUUUCACAAAAUCUUCUUCUUCUUCUUCGUGCGUAGUUAUAACUUGUUGCUGCUCCUCAUGAUAAACUGGAACUUCCAUUGAUGAUUGUGAAAUAUCAAAAGAGUGAUAAAAAGUAUUUGGUGAAACAUCGAAAUUUAGAUCGAUAUUAUUGUCAGUACGAAGUAAUAAAUCAGCAUAGUGAUGAACAUUAGGGUAAUUUUGUUCAGAUGUGUUGUUUGAUGACGUGGCAGGUUGAUCAUAGCAUUGGAAAAACUGUCCUUGAACUCUUUCAGGGAAAUUGAGUUUAGCUUUGUUUCCUUUGAAUCUUAGAGCAGCUUCAUCAUAAGCAAGUGCUGCACCUUCCGCUGUUUCAAAAGUACCUAACCAA